AUACGUAGGGUGCAAGCGUUAAUCGGAAUUACUGGGCGUAAAGCGUGCGCAGGCGGUUUUGUAAGACAGAGGUGAAGUUCCCGGGCUCAAACUGGGAACUGCCUUUGAGAAUGCAAGGGUAGAGUACGGCAGAGGGGGAUGGAAUUCCGCGCGUAGCAGUGCAAUGCGUAGAUAUGCGGAGGAACACCGAUGGCGAAGGCAAUCCCCUGGGCCUGUACUGACGCUCAUGCACGAAAGCGUGGGGAGCAAACAGGAUUAGAUACCCUGGUAGUCCACGCCCUAAACGAUGUCAACUGGUUGUUGGGUCCUCAUUGACUCAGUAACGAAGCUAACGCGUGAAGUUGACCGCCUGGGGAGUACGGCCGCAAGGUUGAAACUCAAAUGAAUUGACGGGG
Molecule: ribosomal RNA, 395 nt
Filed under: uncultured bacterium
Lineage: Bacteria
Description: partial 16S ribosomal RNA
Rfam family: Bacterial small subunit ribosomal RNA
Source: RNAcentral